AGGGGGGAUUCAAUUUUCCGAGAUUUGGUGAAGGUAAGCAUACUCAAUUUAUGCUUCUUUCAUCUUUCAUCCUCAUCUUAAGAGAGAGUUUUCGAUUUGGAGAGGAUCACGUGUUGUAUUUCUCUCACCUCAAAUCCCUAACCACCGCCAAACCCAUCGGAUUUUAUCCCGCGGCCAUUGCGAGACCAGCUGGCUUCAAUAUUGAAGUCGAUUGAUCAGUUGGGCUUCUUCUAUCGUUAUCCCUCUCAGAUUCAGCUCCAAAUCAGAAGUUCACCGGCAAUAGAGUCUAUCAAGUGUAGGAGUUGAUGUUGUCGUACUAUAAGGAACGCAGAAUCUUCACUUGGAUGCACAUGCACUCACUGGUUUGAAAAAGCUUCACAUCACCAAGGUAUAAGAGGAAAAAUAUGUUUGGAUACACUUGUAUCCUAAACACGAUCCGAAUAAAGUAAUACCGGGUCAAUAAAGAUCCGCGUGUUUUUGUUCAGUUAGUUUACCUCUUUGCCCUUGAUUUGGUUUUUCUUUUCUCUUUGCUUUUUGUUUUCGUAGGGGUAUGUAAUGGAAUUUUUGUAAAGUUUUUUUUUUUCUGGCUUUUGUUUUCGUAGGGAUAGGAUAACAUGCGUGCUAGCUAAACGCUGAGACAAACAUGAUUUUCUAGUUUAAAAAAGAUUGAUUCAAAUGUUUUGUUCUUUCUUCUUAA
Molecule: non-coding RNA, 697 nt
Organism: Camelina sativa (false flax)
Lineage: Eukaryota; Viridiplantae; Streptophyta; Magnoliopsida; Brassicales; Brassicaceae
Source: RefSeq, a predicted model, not a curated record